AGAGUUUGAUCCUGGCUCAGAAUCAACGCUGGCGGCGUGCCUAACACAUGCAAGUCGAACGCGAAAGUGGAGCAAUCCAUGAGUAGAGUGGCAAACGGGUGAGUAACACGUGGGUGACCUGCCUCCGAGUGGGGGAUAACGUCCCGAAAGGGACGCUAAUACCGCAUAACAUCCUGCCUUUUAACAGGUGGAGAUCAAAGCUGGGGAUCGCAAGACCUAGCGCUUGAAGAGGGGCCCGCGUCUGAUUAGCUAGUUGGUGGGGUAAUGGCUCACCAAGGCAACGAUCAGUAUCCGGCCUGAGAGGGCGGACGGACACACUGGGACUGAGACACGGCCCAGACUCCUACGGGAGGCAGCAGUGGGGAAUUGUUCGCAAUGGGCGCAAGCCUGACGACGCAACGCCGCGUGGAGGAUGAAGACCUUCGGGUCGUAAACUCCUUUCGAUCGAGACGAACGGCCUCCGGGUGAAUAAUCCGGAGGAGUGACGGUACCGAGAGAAGAAGCCCCGGCUAACUCCGUGCCAGCAGCCGCGGUAAUACGGGGGGGGCAAGCGUUGUUCGGAAUUACUGGGCGUAAAGGGCUCGUANGUGGCCAACUAAGUCAGACGUGAAAUCCCUCGGCUUAACCGGGGAACUGCGUCUGAUACUGGAUGGCUUGAGUUUGGGAGAGGGACGCGGAAUUC
RNAcentral lists this ribosomal RNA (682 nucleotides) under uncultured bacterium. RNAcentral describes it as "bacterial SSU rRNA". It matches the Rfam family "Bacterial small subunit ribosomal RNA", at positions 8 to 669 of the family's 1533-position model. The record is from RNAcentral.